Dermacentor albipictus is the source of this 1142-nucleotide non-coding RNA. The record is from RefSeq and is a predicted model, not a curated record. NCBI's taxonomy places the organism in Eukaryota, Metazoa, Arthropoda, Arachnida, Ixodida, Ixodidae.
GUGUCCGCGUUAUCUGCUACUGUCGUUCCGACGUACGAAAUGUUCACGGCCUGCAUAUGAGACGUCACUCGUCCACUGAUUUUUUUAUAUGCGGAACCAGCCCUGAAAUGUCGCAUGCAAGGAGCAGUGACGUAACACACAGCCUUGCGAGCUGUGGAGGCAGUUUAAUACAGCAGCAAAUGCUACGACUUUGCAUCAGCCAAUUUGCCACUCAUCUUAAAGCAAACGCGUCCAGCUUCUGGCCUCUCUGGGCAGCGCAUGCGCACUAGCACUAGCAGCGCUUGCGCACCUCGCAGCGCGCAUGGCUCUCGACAUAACUCGGAAGUGCGCAUCGGGGUCAGCAAACGUUUCUGCAGGCGCGCGUCUGUCUGCAAUAUGUCGGGCCGUCUUCCCGGUCUCUCUCACGGACGGAGUCAGUAUUUUCAUGGCGCGCACUCGAGCACCCGUAUCAACUGCUGGCCAAGCACUGGCUCCCCAUACAGACGCCGCGGGCACCGAUGCGCAGGCGGAUCGAGGAAACAUGGCAGACGAGCAGCCGACCCCCGAAGCCGUUGGUCCGGACGACGGCAUUUGUCCGCAGCAUGGGUUGUCUGUUUCGUCACACUGCCCACAGCCGGUACGACCUUGCCGCUGCACGAAUUGCUACAUGGAGCGAAUGAUCCCGGUGCACUAUGAAAUUCACCAACGCGCUUCGUUUCUGGAAUGAGAACGCAACAUGUUCUGGUGUCACAACACGAAAAUGCGGCGUGCAGGUUACGGAACCGCACGGUUUCCAUGGAAGCGUCGACGGGGGGCUCGCCGCAACAUCUUGGAACGGCAACCGCCGCAGUCCGAGUGCUAGCAUGAUAUACAGUCGGCUGUCUCUGCCUUCUCCCUACACAGGACACGCCCACUAAGGUGAACAAAUGCAUCAAGUCACGAAUGCGGGACUGCGGACAACCAAUAGAGAAGCAGGGAGACAACUAUAACGUGACCUGCUCGGCGGCUGCCGAGCACAUUUAGGGUCACUGCAGUAGUCACUGGGGCACCUUCGCCAUAUCGCAAGACCCUUGUGGAACAAAAGCAGUCACCACCGAGACCACGUUGAAAUGGAAAGCGAGAACAGCGACGGGGGCACCAAGGAGGAUUACCUCAGCACCGAC